CCUCCUCCUCUAGUGCCACGCCCUCCUCUUCCUCGUGUGGCAACCAUGACAGAUGGUUCCACUAGUUCAUGCGCUUCCUGAGUUUGAGGUACCGGGACACGUAGAAGACGAGUAGUCAAUGUUUCCAUGGAGGGGACCUCAUGACUAGUUAGAAGUUGAUCUCUGAGAUGAUCAAAAUCGGGAUGUAGGGCACGAAGGAUCAAUACCAUGUAAUAUUUGUCCAGUUUCUUUUGGAUAUCCUUUAAUGGGUCUGAUUCCAAAAACAUCCUCAGUUCUUCGACGGCAGAUUGGGCUUCAGCCAUAAAGGACACCAUAUCAUGGUUUGUCAUUUUAAGAGAUGCAAGCUUGUUCGCAGUGUCAUAGAGACGUUGAAUAUCAUUGGCAUAAAUGCUUUGAGCUUUCUUCCAAAAGGAGUGACAAGUUUUGAAAGCCCUCAGAGAUAUAAGAAGGUUGGGUUCCACUGAUU
This 466-nucleotide long non-coding RNA is filed under the name Vigna radiata. RNAcentral describes it as "long non-coding RNA (VRAD_LNC012596)". The record is from RNAcentral. Lineage: Eukaryota; Viridiplantae; Streptophyta; Magnoliopsida; Fabales; Fabaceae.